GUGCCAGCUGCCGCGGUAAUACCGGCAGCCCAAGUGAUGGCCGAUCUUAUUGGGCCUAAAGCGUCCGUAGCUGGCCGCGCAAGUCCAUCGGAAAAUCCACCCGCCCAACGGGUGGGCGUCCGGUGGAAACUGUGCGGCUUGGGACCGGAAGAUCCAAGGGGUACGUCCGGGGUAGGAGUGAAAUCCCGUAAUCCUGGACGGACCACCGAUGGCGAAAGCACCUUGGAGGGACGGAUCCGACAGUGAGGGACGAAAGCUAGGGUCUCGAACCGGAUUAGAUACCCGAGUAGUCC
This 293-nucleotide ribosomal RNA is filed under the name uncultured bacterium. Its description in RNAcentral is "partial 16S ribosomal RNA". It matches the Rfam family "Archaeal small subunit ribosomal RNA", at positions 455 to 747 of the family's 1478-position model. The record is from RNAcentral.